CGAGGAAUAAUGGUCAAUGGGCGCAAGGCUGAACCAGCCAUCCCGCGUGCAGGAAGACGGCCCUAUGGGUUGUAAACUGCUUUUCCAGGGGGAGAAUUUUUCUGUCGUGACAGGAAUUGACGGUACCCAGGGAAUAAGCAUCGGCUAACUCCGUGCCAGCAGCCGCGGUAAUACGGAGGAUGCGAGCGUUAUCCGGAUUUAUUGGGUUUAAAGGGUGCGUAGGCGGAUUGAUAAGUCAGUGGUGAAAACCUGCAGCUUAACUGUAGACUUGCCGUUGAUACUGUCAGUCUUGAGUGUGGUCAAGGUAGGCGGAAUGUGUAAUGUAGCGGUGAAAUGCUUAGAUAUUACACAGAACACCGAUUGCGAAGGCAGCUUACUGGGCCAUUACUGACGCUGAUGCACGAAAGCGUGGGGAUCGAACAG
This 423-nucleotide ribosomal RNA is filed under the name uncultured bacterium. RNAcentral describes it as "bacterial SSU rRNA". It matches the Rfam family "Bacterial small subunit ribosomal RNA", at positions 355 to 775 of the family's 1533-position model. The record is from RNAcentral.